RNAcentral lists this long non-coding RNA (1262 nucleotides) under Olea europaea subsp. europaea. Lineage: Eukaryota; Viridiplantae; Streptophyta; Magnoliopsida; Lamiales; Oleaceae. The record is from RNAcentral.
UCUCCAUCCAAACCCAAAAAGAAAAAACCAGGACCACCCAUUUGUCGGACACCGCCACCCAACCCACCGUCUACUGCUGCCUCGACUGUCACCAUCCAUCUGGUUACAGAAGGCUGACUUCUGGCUCGAGAGUAGCUCUCAAAAAGGAGAAAAAAAAGGAACAAACACAAAUGAGAUUUUGACAGUCUUGUCCCAUUUCUUGCUUAUCUAUCCAUUUGAAUCCCAUUUCGACUGUCUAGAAGCUCUCCGAUUCAUUGGUUCUGUCAACUCCUACUUUAAUAGACUUAAAGGACUUUGGGAGGAACUCAAAAAUUAUAGGCCAAAUGUCAAUAAUACUGAUUAUAAAUUUGAGGAUCAGAUUAAGCAAUUUCUCAUGGGGUUAGAUGAACAAUUCUCUAAUGUGAGGAGUCAGAUCUUGCUGAUGGAUCCACUGCCUUCACUCAAUAAGGUAUUUCUUUAAUUCUGCAAGAUGAAAGACAACAAGAUGUUGUGGCUAAGAAACAACAAAAUUUUGAUGCUGCUAUAUUUGCUAGUAAAAUGAUCCACAGCUCUUUUGGUAAUUAAAGAACCAACUCGUUUAACCAAUUGUAGAAAAAAGGAUAGGCCUAUAUGCAGUUACUAUGGAAUGCUUGGACACCUUAAAAGUAAAUGCUGCAAGCUGAGUGGCUACCCUCCUGGUCAUAGACUGGCUAAAGGGAAAGCUCCAGUUGCUAUUGAUGUUAGUUCAGUACCUCACAACACAAGUUCAGACAAAAUAAGUUCCUUGUCAAACGUCACUAUUACUCCAGGACAAUAUCAACAAAUCUAGGCCAUGCUAGCUCCACAACUACAAGGACAUAUCUCUGUUGGAAAUCAGCAAACUCAAGAAUUGAUUUCUUCAUCUCCUCAAGUGCCUACUGCAUUUGUUUUCUCAAGUAGAUUGCAUAUGUUUUAAUGUUUCCACAGUUGCUGAUAAGUGGAUUAUGGAUACAGGAGCCUCAGAACAUAUAGUCUGUUCCAUUAACGACUUAACAACCAUGAUAGCAAAAAUUGAAGCAUCUAUGAGAUUACCAAAUGGUGAAGUUGCUACAGCCACACAUUUUGGUACAGUGAAGUUGUUUGACACUUUAAUUUUGACAAAAGUCCUAGUUGUGCCUUGUUUCCAGUUUAAUUUGAUUUCUGCUAGCAAGUUGAUACUUCAGCACAGAUGUUGUAUAAUAUUCAUGGAUCAUCAUUGUUUUAUACAGGAUCUUUCAACAUGGAGGACGAUUGGGAUAUAUAGG